GGUAUUAUGUUAGUUGAAAUACAUCAGACAGAGGAAUACAAAUACUUUAUGAUUUCACUUAUAUGUGAAAUAUAAAAAGCAAAAUAAAUGAACAAACAAAAAACACUCAUAGAUACUGAGAAAAAAACUGAUGGUUGAGAGGGAGGGGGUGUUUGGGGAC
Myotis brandtii (Brandt's bat) is the source of this 160-nucleotide long non-coding RNA. RefSeq lists it as uncharacterized. The transcript is spliced from 3 exons. The record is from RefSeq and is a predicted model, not a curated record. NCBI's taxonomy places the organism in Eukaryota, Metazoa, Chordata, Mammalia, Chiroptera, Vespertilionidae.